GAGAGUUUUGUAACGAUUAUAUUUCAAUUUAAAAAAUAAAAAACGAGCCUGUUUGAGGAAGGGGUGUCCGCACAGAUGCCUGUUGAAAAUACUGUAGACGAGAAAAUAAAAUAAUCUCGGGUCUUUCACAGCUGCGUGUGUGCGCGCGUGUGUAUGCGUGUUUUUUUAUCCGCAGGCCCCGUCCGGGUCAAAACAGCGAUUGGUUUAACUAAAAAAAGAAACAUUCAUGGAUGGUCUCGGCGCUCAUGAACCUCUAGAAUACAAAGGGGACCGUGAAUGCCUCAUGGAGCUCCAGGCGGAGGAUACUUUCCGGGAAGCCGCCGCUGAGAAACAUGACAGAUAUAACGAUGUUCAGCAGCUGUUGGAGCUGAAAGAAGAGCGUUUCCAUGACAACCGCUCUGAUCUGGACCAGGACAAGCAGGACUUAGUCCACAUAAAGAAAGAAAUCUCAUUCAAACUAAUCCAUAAAUUCUAUCCAACCAAACUAUAUCUACAAAGGUUCAAGGAAGAUAUUGAUGUUACUUGCUCUUUUUGUCAUGAACACCCUGAAGAUGCUGUACAUUUAUUUUGGUCAUGUCCCUUUUCCACCACUCUCUGGUCUAAAGUUUGUCAUUUCAUUUCUGCCCACAUUGACCCUGACUUCCGCCUGUACUUAGAAAAUAUUAUGUUUGGCAUCACCCACUGUCCAUCUCAUAAAAAAGAACAGUUGUUCCUCAUUAACCUUUUGUUGUUUUUAUGCAAAUGGCACAUUCAUAAAUCAAAAGUAACGAAUCAUACCCCUCAUUUCUCAAUCUUUAUUAAUGAGUUCAAACAAUACAUUAAGACAAUAAGAAACUCUGAUAAUAAGAACGCCAUCAAAACAUUAGAUCUGUGUAUUAGUUUCAAUAUAUAUGCA
Molecule: non-coding RNA, 895 nt
Organism: Oryzias latipes (Japanese medaka)
Lineage: Eukaryota; Metazoa; Chordata; Actinopteri; Beloniformes; Adrianichthyidae
Source: RefSeq, a predicted model, not a curated record